UCUAAGCGGGAAGCCCCUCCUGAGAGCGAUCUCCCGGACUUAAUGUCCCUGAAGGUCACAGGUAGACCACCUGUUUGAUAGGCCGGGGGUGGAAGCAUGGCAACAUGUGAAGCCGACCGGUACUAAGCGACCGUGUGGCUUGACUUG
RNAcentral lists this ribosomal RNA (147 nucleotides) under SAR324 cluster bacterium. RNAcentral's name for it is "partial 23S ribosomal RNA". It matches the Rfam family "Bacterial large subunit ribosomal RNA", at positions 2780 to 2925 of the family's 2925-position model. Lineage: Bacteria; Deltaproteobacteria. The record is from RNAcentral.